Cercocebus atys (sooty mangabey) is the source of this 2948-nucleotide long non-coding RNA. RefSeq lists it as uncharacterized. NCBI's taxonomy places the organism in Eukaryota, Metazoa, Chordata, Mammalia, Primates, Cercopithecidae. The transcript is spliced from 3 exons. The record is from RefSeq and is a predicted model, not a curated record.
CUCCCUCCCCCUCCCAAAUUUGAAGCAUCCCUCAAGAACAGACAGUGAGCACAAGAUGCCCAAAUCAAACUCUUGGUCACCAGCCGCGCCCCCAGGCCUCCUCACCUGGGAAAUAUUUUCUACAAAGUGAGGUCUGGAUUUCUUAAAAAUCCUCUUUCAGAGGGAGGGCUACUGGUUUAAUGGAAAGAGAACCAUAAACCUGAUUUUAGUCUCAGCUCUGUGGCUGCCUCACUAGAUGACCUUGGGAUAUAUUACACACACACACACACACCCCCCCAUUCCAGGGCUUCAGUCACACACAUACAAACACACAAAUACACACACACACCCCCAUCCAUUUGCGGGCAAAAAGGGGAUAGACAAGAUGAUUUCUAGGUCUCUUCCAAGUGAAACACUAAAGAAUUUCAAGAAGCCUGCUGGAAAAAACAAACAUGAGUGGACCUUUAAAAAUAUCAUUAAUACUACAUGAAGUUAUCUGUUCUGACUUAAGUGAAACCAGAGCAAGUUGCCUGCAGCCUGCAAUAACCAAGGUGUUUGACCCAUGACACAGGGUUUGAAGAAAAACCAAACCAUUCCUGCCUCUGAUGCUCCUACAAACCCACGGUCCUGCCCAGACCGGCUCUUGAGACCCAAGUGGCCUGCUGACCACUCUACUGUGUUGGGGAGGCCCCUACUUCUUCCCUCCUUGCCUUGUCCAGAAUAAUAAUACAACCUCCCUCAGCUACAUCAAGGCAGAAGUUAAACCUCUGAGCCUCAGUUGUUUUUUUCUGUAAAAUGGUGCUUGUAAAAAUGGUAAAAUGUCUCUGCAGCAACCAUCUUCACCCUUACCCCCAUCCCCACCUCCAGGUCAAUAGAAAGAUAGGUCUACUGGGGAUCUGCCUCACCCAUCAUUCACCAGUCAACAAAUUCUUCUGAAGAACAGGCAGGAAGACAUGACCACCACUUCAUCCCAUGAUAGAACCUUGGUUGCCAGGUUGAUCAGACAAGGGUCCCCAAAGACUAAGUCUAAACCUGGGCCCAGGAACUUCCUAAAACCGUAGGCUACCUUUUGUGGAUGGUGCAGACAUGCACUUCGGGAGAGACAGUCCAUGGUUUCCUCAGAGACUUGAAAGUGCCCAUGAAACCAUUUUGCUCCUCCAGCACAUACGCUCCUCUGUUUUGUGCCCCCAUUGAAUUCAAAUACUCUUGGAUUUUCAGCUCGCAAAACACUGAACUCCACCCUCACACUAUACAGAGCCUUGCAUCGAUACGACGAUCCCCAUUUCAGAGAUGAGGAAAUCCAGGCUCAGGGGUGGCAUGACUUGCCCAAGGUCACAGCUAACAAGUAGAGAAUGAAGACUGGAACCUGAUUCCGAUUCCCAAUCUGGCAUUCUUUGAGGAACUGUCACCCAGGCCCUCUAGCUACCCCACCUGUUGGUGGAUUCCCUUCCUCACCCCAGAACCAAAUCCGAAGCGCUCAUGUUCCUUCUGCCGGGUCCCAGGGCCCUAAAGAGUAGGUUUCCCUACAGCUCCCCACCCCUCCCUCUGGCUGAGGUUGUGCGCAGGCCUGGGAGGAGGAGGUUCAAGCCGCUGGAUGGUGGCCGGCUUCAGCCCACCAACAAAGGCGACUCCAGGGACGAGAGCACCUGAGGUCAGGGGCACACACCAGCGGGCGGACAAGUGUAGAGUUGGCGCCGCCCUACACCUCUCUCUGGGAAGUGAGGGGAGGAAAGGCCGUCACCUGGCCGGUUCCCCUGCGUCUGCCCCAGGCGUAUAAGAAGCAGGAGUCUGGAGUCCCAGCCCCUGAGGAAAGGAGAGGAGAGACAAUUGGGGGCGCUCAAGGCCUCGGGCGCCGGGCAGGGGUCUUGGGCAGGGAUCCUCUGGAUGCGGCCAAGACAAAGAUGGAGAGGCACAACACCGUGGUUCCAAGGAAGCAGAGAAAGGUGGAGAGAAGUUCAGUGGCCAGCCCUGUUUGGAGGUAAAUGUGAGUGAGAGUCCCUGAGUAGCCUUAGAUGAACGAGAAGCAACACCCUUAAGAUAAGUGCCUCCGACUUUCAAAUUCAACUGGGCAAAGGCUGCAUGUAGCCAUCCUGGCCACUGAGCCGUCCUGGUCACAGCAACAAUUCAUUGUUCAGCUGCCAGUUGGAUGCCUUGUUGCUCACUGGUGAUGACAUCAGGUCUCCAGGGAGCACACUGGCUGUCCAUCAGAAGCCUUUUUCUGGCAGCAGUGAGCCAUCUCUGCCUCCUCUCUCUUUUAAAGGGGUGGCUUCUGCCUGGGCAAGGGAACUAGGUUUGGGCCACCUUGAUUCUUUCUUUCCAUUUCAAGUGUAAUUCCACGGAGGUGGAGAAAUUAGAGAAGUACAAGGUAGGUUACUGUGGGUGUUUCUCAAGAUCCCAGCUUCAGCUCACCCCUGACAAUAAAAUCUUGCCAACCAAGACGUGGAUCAAAAUAAAGAUGGAUCUAAAAAUUAAAAUCCGGUGGAUAUAAAAAAAUUUCACUAAAUGUUUCUAGUGGAUCUAAAAAAAUUACAUUUUAAAAAUCUUUGGUAUAUAAAAUUGCUGGUAAAUACUAAACAGGCUUAAAUAUAAAAUGAGGAAAAAUAACUGAGAAUUAUCAGUUAUUUCCAUCUUCCUUACUAAGAAAUACUAAUUUGAUUGAAGCCAUCAAAUGUGCCUAGUUAAAAAAAAAUUCCACAUUUCCUAGCUUCUGUUGCAGCUAGGGGUGGCAUAUAACACAGUUAUGGUCAAUGAAAUACAGACUAGGAAUUCACAGAAAACUUUCCUUUCCUGAUUUAGUCAUUCUCUCCUUUUUCCUGGGUGGAGUAAGAACAUGAUGGCUGGAGCUGCAGCAGCUGUUUUGCAAUCAUAAGGAAAAUCCCAGGAGAAUUACACAGCCCCUUCAACCGUGAUAUCUUUGAAGCACUGAAAUGAUGGAAUUUCCGUCUUGUUGCCCAAGCUGGAGUGCAAUG